Molecule: ribosomal RNA, 611 nt
Filed under: uncultured Verrucomicrobiales Sva0493
Lineage: Bacteria; Pseudomonadati; Verrucomicrobiota; Verrucomicrobiia; Verrucomicrobiales
Description: bacterial SSU rRNA
Rfam family: Bacterial small subunit ribosomal RNA
Source: RNAcentral
GUGGACAGUGGCGGAAGGGUGAGUAACGCGUGGAUAACCUACCCUUGAGUUGGGGACAACAUUCCGAAAGGAGCGCUAAUACCGAAUGUGGUAACUUGUCGCAAGACAAGCUCACUAAAGACGGGGAUUCUUCAGAACCUGUCGCUCAAGGAGGGGUCCGCGUCCCAUCAGCCUGUUGGUAAGGUAAUGGCUUACCAAGGCAUACGGGUAGCCGGCCUGAGAGGGUGAUCGGCCACACUGGGACUGAGACACUGCCCAGACUCCUACGGGAGGCUGCAGUCGAGGAUCAUUCGCAAUGCGCGAAAGCGUGACGAUGCGACGCUGCGUGGAGGAUGAAGGCCUUAGGGUCGUAAACUCCUGUCAUGAGGGAAAAACGGCCAUAGGGUUAAUAGCCCUAAGGUGUGAUGGUACCUCAAGAGGAAGCCACGGCUAACUCUGUGCCAGCAGCCGCGGUAAUACAGAGGUGGCGAGCGUUGUUCGGAUUUACUGGGCGUAAAGGGUGCGUAGGUGGCAAUGUAUGUCGGAUGUGAAAUCUCGAGGCUCAACUUCGAAAUUGCAUCCGAAACUGCAUAGCUUGAGUACAGGAUGGGAGAGCGGAAUUCUUGGUGUAG